RNAcentral lists this ribosomal RNA (206 nucleotides) under uncultured Treponema sp. Its description in RNAcentral is "partial 16S ribosomal RNA". It matches the Rfam family "Bacterial small subunit ribosomal RNA", at positions 568 to 774 of the family's 1533-position model. The record is from RNAcentral. Lineage: Bacteria; Pseudomonadati; Spirochaetota; Spirochaetia; Treponematales; Treponemataceae.
UACGUAGGCGGUUUGUAAGCCCGACGUGAAAUACUGGAGCUUAACUCCAGAACUGCGUUGGGAACUGUGAGACUUGAGUCAUGGAAGGGGAGUUGGAAUUCCAGGUGUAGGGGUGAAAUCUGUAGAUAUCUGGAAGAACACCGGUGGCGAAGGCGAACUCCUGGCCAAUGACUGACGCUGAGGUACGAAAGUGCGGGGAGCAAACA